RNAcentral lists this ribosomal RNA (493 nucleotides) under uncultured bacterium. RNAcentral describes it as "partial 16S ribosomal RNA". It matches the Rfam family "Bacterial small subunit ribosomal RNA", at positions 28 to 506 of the family's 1533-position model. The record is from RNAcentral.
GACGAACGCUGGCGGCGUGCUUAACACAUGCAAGUCGAACGGAAAGGCCUGCUUUCCCUUGUGGAUUGCGGGUACUCGAGUGGCGAACGGGUGAGUAACACGUGAGUGAUCUGCCCCCAACUUGGGUAUAAGCCUGGGAAACUGGGUCUAAUUCCCGAUAGGACUGCAGGGUGGUGCCUGUGGUGGAAAACGAUUUUCUAGUGGUUGGGGAUGAGCUCGCGGCCUAUCAGCUUGUUGGUGGGGUAAUGGCCUACCAAGGCGGCGACGGGUAGCCGGCCUGGGAGGGUGGACGGCCACAUUGGGACUGAGAUACGGCCCAGACUCCUACGGGAGGCAGCAGUGGGGAAUAUUGCACAAUGGGCGGAAGCCUGAUGCAGCGACGCCGCGUGGGGGAUGACGGCCUUCGGGUUGUAAACUCCUUUCGACCGCGAGGAAGCCACCUGGUUGGAAGGGUGGUGACGGUAGUGGUAGAAGAAGCACCGGCUAACUACGU